Molecule: RNA transcript, 1066 nt
Organism: Medicago truncatula (barrel medic)
Lineage: Eukaryota; Viridiplantae; Streptophyta; Magnoliopsida; Fabales; Fabaceae
Gene name: acyl-coenzyme A thioesterase 13
Exons: 4
Source: RefSeq, a predicted model, not a curated record
GCUACAUUGAAAAAAAAAAAUAGAAUGGAAAAAACAGAAGGAACUAUGCCAGAUUUGGAAUCAGUGAAGAAGUAUUUGGAGAAAAGACUAGCAUCAACGGUAGAUGAUGAAUUUCCUCCAAAGUUUUUGCAACAUCUAAUCUUGCGCGCCCUGCGAUUGGAUCUCAUUGAACCUGGUCGUGUCGUCUUCUCAAUGAACAUACCCCCACGUUUACUCAAUUCAGGUAAGUACUUGCACGGUGGUGCUAUCACUACUCUGGUGGAUAUCGCAGGCGGAACCGCAAUUCCCGCAGCUGGAUUUCCGUGGAAAUCCGGAGUUUCCGUAGAGAUCAAUAUAUCAUGCUUGGAUGCUGCCUAUGUCAAUGAGGAGAUUGAGAUUGAUACCAGGGUUCUAAGACUAGGAAAGGCUGUAGCUGUUCUAAGCGUGGAGUUGAGGAAGAAAAAAACUGGCCAAGUUUUUGCUCAAGGGCGUCAUACAAAAUUUCUUCCCCUAAAAUAUCUUCCCCUUAAGAGUAAAAUGUGAAUAUGUACAAGUAAUUGUGAAGGAAGCAAAGCUGACAGAUGGAAGUAGAAGUUUGAUGAUGUUUACUCGAUGUCAUCAUAAAACUGAAAAAGGGGACACCGCGACGGUGAGAAAGACGGUGAGUCAGCGACGGUGAGUCUGAUGCAUAUAACAACCAGAUUUUGAGAACAUGAGGAUAUCCAGGAGAUGCGAGAGAACUUGGCAUUGUUUCAAUGUUUUGUUACUUCUCAGAUAAUGUUUGAUCUCAAGAGUUGAAUCUUUCUUACCAGAUGUCGGGAAUUGAGAAUUGGACAAAUUAAAACUGUGCAGAUCCGGAUUGAGGGAGAUGAGUUGUAGAAAAUGGAUAGUUGGAUCUAGUGUGAGACACACAUGAUAAGAUGUAAUAUACUCUAAAAUUUGAUGGUUGAUUUGCAAUGGUCCAUGGUGGAAAAGGAUUGACAUUUUCCAUGUUAAACUCCACCUGAUUUCUAUCUUGUAAACUCUUUGUAAUCAUUGUAUGUUCUUGACAUGCCUUGUGCUAUGAAAGCUUUUAUAAUUUAUCUUA